Molecule: non-coding RNA, 95 nt
Filed under: uncultured Moraxella sp.
Lineage: Bacteria; Pseudomonadati; Pseudomonadota; Gammaproteobacteria; Moraxellales; Moraxellaceae
Description: Glycine riboswitch
Rfam family: Glycine riboswitch aptamer
About the family: This family represents the bacterial glycine riboswitch. Glycine riboswitches usually consist of two metabolite-binding aptamers domains with similar structures in tandem. The aptamers cooperatively bind glycine to regulate the expression of downstream genes.
Source: RNAcentral
UUUUUUCAGGAGAGUGCAUUUUAUGGCAUUAAUGCCUAAAAUGACACCGAAGGCGCAAACCUACCCUACAAUCGCUCAGGUAAAAGGACUGAAAA